UUCGGAGGGGGCAACCGUUGUUCGGAAUUACUGGGCGUAACGGGCGCGUAGGCGGCCAGUUGCGUCGGGUGUGAAAGCCCCGGGCUCAACCUGGGAGGUGCACUUGAUACGGGCUGGCUGGAAUCCGGGAGAGGAUGGUGGAAUUCCCAGUGUAGAGGUGAAAUUCGUAGAUAUUGGGAAGAACACCGAUGGCGAAGGCAGCCAUCUGGACCGGGAUUGACGCUGAGGCGCGAAAGCGUGGGGAGCAAACAGG
This 253-nucleotide ribosomal RNA is filed under the name uncultured bacterium. RNAcentral's name for it is "partial 16S ribosomal RNA". It matches the Rfam family "Bacterial small subunit ribosomal RNA", at positions 524 to 776 of the family's 1533-position model. The record is from RNAcentral.